Molecule: ribosomal RNA, 501 nt
Filed under: uncultured bacterium
Lineage: Bacteria
Description: bacterial SSU rRNA
Rfam family: Bacterial small subunit ribosomal RNA
Source: RNAcentral
AUGGCUCAGGAUGAACGCUGGCGGCGUGCCUAAUACAUGCAAGUCGAGCGAGAAUCUUCAGAACAAUCUCGGAUGCGUUCAGGAGAGGAAAGCGGCGGACGGGUGAGUAACGCGUAGGCAACCUGCCCCUGGCAGAGGGAUAGCCAUUGGAAACGAUGAUUAAAACCUCAUAAAGCUCAAAGAGCACAUGCUCAUUGAGCCAAAGAUUUAUCGGCUGGGGAUGGGCCUGCGUCUGAUUAACUAGUUGGUGAGGUAACGGGCCCACCAAGGUGACGAUCAGUAGCCGACCUGAGAGGGUGAUCGGCCACAUUGGAACUGAGACACGGUCCAAACUUCUACGGAAGGCAGCAGUAAGGAAUCUUGCACAAUGGGGGAAACCCUGAUGCCAGCAACGCCGCGUGAACGAUGAAGGCCUUAGGGUUGUAAAGUUCUGAUCUGUGGGAAGAAGAAAGUGACGGUACCACAGGAGAAAGCCCCGGCUAAAUACGUGCCAGCAGCUGC